UACGUAGGGGGCAAGCGUUAUCCGGAUUUACUGGGUGUAAAGGGAGCGCAGACGGACAGACAAGUCAGAUGUGGAAGCCCCGGGCAUAACUCGGGGAGUGCAUUUGAAACUGUAGGUCUAGAGUACUGGAGAGGUAAGCGGAAUUCCUGGUGUAGCGGUGUAAUGCGUAGAUAUCAGGAAGAACACCGGUGGCGAAGGCGGCUUACUGGACAGCAACUGACGUUGAGGCUCGAAAGCGUGGGGAGCAAAC
This 250-nucleotide ribosomal RNA is filed under the name uncultured prokaryote. RNAcentral describes it as "partial 16S ribosomal RNA". It matches the Rfam family "Bacterial small subunit ribosomal RNA", at positions 524 to 773 of the family's 1533-position model. The record is from RNAcentral.